Molecule: ribosomal RNA, 404 nt
Filed under: Pseudomonas sp.
Lineage: Bacteria; Pseudomonadati; Pseudomonadota; Gammaproteobacteria; Pseudomonadales; Pseudomonadaceae
Also listed under: 1 other name
Description: partial 16S ribosomal RNA
Rfam family: Bacterial small subunit ribosomal RNA
Source: RNAcentral
UGGGGAAUAUUGGACAAUGGGCGCAAGCCUGAUCCAGCCAUGCCGCGUGAGUGAUGAAGGCCCUAGGGUUGUAAAGCUCUUUCACCGGUGAAGAUAAUGACGGUAACCAGAGAAGAAGCCCCGGCUAACUUCGUGCCAGCAGCCGCGGUAAUACGAAGGGGGCUAGCGUUGUUCGGAUUUACUGGGCGUAAAGCGCACGUAGGCGGACUUUUAAGUCAGGGGUGAAAUCCCGGGGCUCAACCCCGGAACUGCCUUUGAUACUGGAAGUCUUGAGUAUGGUAGAGGUGAGUGGAAUUCCGAGUGUAGAGGUGAAAUUCGUAGAUAUUCGGAGGAACACCAGUGGCGAAGGCGGCUCACUGGACCAUUACUGACGCUGAGGUGCGAAAGCGUGGGGAGCAAACAGG